AUGGAUCAUGAGGUCCUGGAGCGUAUACUUGAUGGAAGAGAGAAGCCGACAAAUCUAUCACUUGCACUUUUGAAGGAUAUCACAGAAAAUUUCUCAGAUGAUCGAGAAAUCGGUCACGGUGGAUUUGCAACUGUUUAUAAGGGAGUGGUUCGUAAUGGGAACGUUGCUGUUAAAAGGAUAAGGAACAGUCAUUCAAUCAAUGAGACUUUAUUUUAUCGAGAAGUCGACAGCCUGUUGAACAUUAAACAUAAAAAUGUCGUACGCUUUCUUGGCUUCUGUGCUAGCACAGAUCAGAUAGCCAUACAAAUUGCAGGAUCAAAACGACAUAUUUAUGCUGAGGUAAGAGAAAGACUACUCUGUUUUGAGUAUAUCAGCAAUGGAAGUCUACAAAAGUAUGUUACUGAUGAAUUAAGAGGACUGGAAUGGAAUACACGCUAUGGAAUAAUUAGAGGAAUCUGUGAAGGUUUGCAUCAUCUGCACACGGAGAAGCACAUAUAUCAUAUGGAUUUGAAACCUGGCAAUAUACUACUAGAUAAUGAUAUGGUGCCGAAAAUCACAGAUUUCGGUUUAUCAAGACUUGAUGAAAAGUCAAAAACCAUGAGUGAAGACCGUCUCGGAUCACUAGGAUAUUGUGCUCCAGAGUACAUAUCUGAAGGGAAAAUGUCAUUCAAAUCAGACAUGUACAGUUUGGGCAAAAUAAUCAUUGAGCUAGUGACGGGAGGAAAGGAGAUCCUCAAUAAUAGCAACACUGUA
This 753-nucleotide ribosomal RNA is filed under the name Triticum aestivum (bread wheat). Its description in RNAcentral is "partial small subunit ribosomal RNA". The record is from RNAcentral. Lineage: Eukaryota; Viridiplantae; Streptophyta; Magnoliopsida; Poales; Poaceae.